GGGUGUUGUUAAAAGCAUUCAGUUUUAAAAGGGAAACAGAGCAUAAAAGUUUGCAAAAUUUGUAGUCUGACAAGCAAUAAAGAAGAAAAACCCAUUUUCUGAGGAGCAAUUCAAGCCAGCUGCAGAAAUUUGCUUAAGUAAUAAGGAGCCUAAUAUUAAUCUCUGACAGUGGGAAAAAUGUCUCCAGGGCAGGUCAGAGGUCCUCACAGCAGACCCCCCACCCCCAAUCACAGGCCUGGAGGUUUAGGAGAAAAAAAAUAGUUUAGUGGGCCAGGCCCAGGGUCCCUCUGAUGUGUGCAGUCUAGGGACUUUGUGCCCUGCAACCCAGCUGCUGCAGCUGUGACUAAAAGGGGCCAAGUUGCAGCUCAGGUUGUUGCUUUAGAGGGUGGAAGCCCCAAGCCCUGGCAGCUUCUACGUGGUGUUGAGCCUGCAGGUGAACAGAAGUCAAGAAUUGAGGUUUGGGAACCUCUGCCUAGAUUUCAGAAAAUGUAUGGAAAUGUCUGAAUGCCCAGGCAGAAGUUUGCUGCAGGGGCGGGGCCCUCAUGGAGAACCUCUUCUAGGACAGUGCAGAAGGGAAAUGUGGGGUCCAAGCCCCCAUGUAGAGUCCCUGCUGGAGCACCACCUAGUGGAGCUGUGAGAAGAGGGCCACCAUCCUCCAGACUCCAGAAUAGAUCAACCGACAGCUUGCACUUUGCACCUGGAAAAAUCGGACAUUCAACAUCAGCCUGUGAAAGCAGCCAAGAGGGCGGAUAUACCCUGCAAAACCACAGAGGCAGAGCUUCCCAAAGCCAUGGGAGCCUACCUCUCGCAUCAGCAUGUCCUGGAAGUUCAUAGGCAGACAGGACUUGCCUUGUCUCAGAUGAGACUUUGGACUGUGGACUUUGGAGUAAAUGCUGAAAUGAGUUAAGACUUUGGGGGACUGUUGGGAAGGCAUGAUUGGUUUUGAAAUGUGAGGACAUGAGAUUUGGGAGGGGCCAGGGGGGAAUGAUAUGGUUUGGCUGUGUCCCCACCCAAAUCUCAUCUUGAAUUCCCACGUGUUAUGGGAGGAACCUGGAGUGAGGUAAUUGAAUCAUGGGGGUGGGUCUUUCCCAUGCUGUUCUUAUGAUAGUGAGUAAGUCUCACAAGAUCUGAUGGUUUUAAAAAUGGGAGUUUCCCUGCACAAGCUCUCUUCUCUUGUUUGCUGUCAUGUGAGACAUGCCUUUUGCCUUCCACCAUGACUGUGGUGGCAUGUGGCACUGUAAGCCU
This 1245-nucleotide long non-coding RNA is filed under the name Homo sapiens (human). RNAcentral describes it as "HSALNT0167519". Lineage: Eukaryota; Metazoa; Chordata; Mammalia; Primates; Hominidae. The record is from RNAcentral.